GUUCCUUUGAUAUCUUUUAUAAUAUUUUGCUGCAACAUCAUUUUUUUUUUAGAAAGACCACCCCUGGCACAGGAAAACAUGAAACUAUUUCAAAGUAUAUUAAAUUUCCUGCUUGUUUCCUUACUAUUGUUUUAAAUGUCACUUUGGAGAUGAUAGUUACACUGAAUUUUAAGGAGAGAAAAGCAACCAGCUAACCAAAGAACAAGUGCAAAAUGAUUUCAGCAAGGAGAACCAGGCCACUGGAACACACAACUGCCUGCUUUGGGAGACCAUCCAUUUCUCACCAGUGGAGAGGUGCCCUGUGAGAUGAACACUGCCUUGUCCAAAGGAUAUUGUGUGGGAAGCAUGGUUUGGCAAGCAUGAUAUGAAACAUCAUGUAACUGGCCAUCAACAACUUUGAGAAACAUAAUCUACAGACAGGAGAGAGAAUCAGCCUUGUGUCCAGAGACAGCAACAGAGUAAGAAGGAGGCAGAUUGUGCCCAGCGGUGGCUAAGGCAGAGGAGCGCUGCUCCCACAGCACCUCUGGCUGCCAGAGGAGUGUGGUGUAAGCAGACUCAACUGCCCUGGCUGCCGUACCAGACCACCUUGGCCUUCCCUUCAGUUUCCGCCCAUUUGAAUUUCCUCAGUGGCAAUACUAGUAAUUCUGUCUUGAAAGUUAGACCAAAAUAGCAUGUGCCCAGUUUGUUCUAAGUGAGAAACAGACAUUUUGAAGGCUGUUCUCUUUAUUCCAGCACAUUUUCCCAAGUUUCCUCAGUGUUCUCCAUUUAGUUUUAACAGACAUUUUCUGACUGGAUUUAUGCUGAACAAGGACAAUACACAUCAGCAGAGACUUUUCCAACUUCCCAGCAUUUCACAGCAGAGCUGCAGUAAAGGCAAAGGACACGAAGAGAAGGCCCAUGUGGCCGAGUCCGGAAGGAGCGGCAGCUUCUCCUGCCCAUGGGUUCUGGAUCCCUCCCAUCCAGGGGUAAUGCUGCAUGCAGACUCCUUUCCCAUCGAGUUUUCAAAUGGGACCUGGCUCUCACAUGCAGACAGACGCAUCCAAACCCCUGUCGACCACCCUCUGCGUGGCCACCAGAUACCUACAGCUCCAAACCGAAAAGUUCCAAAAUGGAAACAUCGUCUCCCCCAAGGCGGUCCCUCUCUGUUCUGUGUUUUCUUGGAUUCUACAUGUGUAUUUACCACCAUCCAUCAAAAGGCCUAACUCUCAGCCAAAGUGUCAACCUCUCUCCUUUUAUUUCACUGCCUGGGACUCAAUUCUCACAUGCAGAUCUGCUGAUUCAAGGCUGAGCCCCUACUUUCUUCCCUAAUUCGCACAGCAAGCCAACAUUGCCCUUAUCCUAAAUCAUUCCAGGGCCAGGUACCAGGCAAUGAGAGACCACCCUAGGCUGUGUACCUGUCCCUGCCUUUAUUUCCCCAUAGAAGCCUCAAUACAGGUUCUGGUUGGGGCCUUCCUCUUGCUCCUGUCUUCUGUCUCCUGACCUCCCUGAGCUUCCUGCACCGUCCUGUGUGGUGUGAUGUGCCACUCCUCCUGGGAAAAUAUAAGCAAUAAAUCUUUCAGUCACUCAGUCACCUCCGUAACUAAAAUCCUGUGGCUACAAAGGUGAUGCUCUCCUUCUGCCAUCACAGAAUGAGAUCGAGGAUAAGGUGUACCUGAUUUGGAGGUGUCGUCUCAGCCUUAACUCUCACUACUUUGUGGUGUCAUUUAAGGAUGUCUACCACUCAGUUUAUCAAGAAAGCAGUGAUAGUGAGGAGGCGCACCGGACUCAGCACAAAAUAUAUAGCAAGUGUCACUCCCCCAGGCAUAUGUAUCAGCGCACAUGAGCCUCCCUCUCCUCUUACCCUCUGGACACUAGUGAGGGUAAAAAUUGCCUGGCUUGCAAAGUUUUUUGAAAACUGGCACUUGUAGAGUAUGUGCUGUGAACUACACAUGGAGGUGAGUGGAACCAAUGUGUGUGUGCUUGUGGUGGUACAUGCACUUCCUGUGAUUCUCUGGAGGGUCAGUGCUUACAGACAUGCUAAAGGUGAUGGAGCUCAUCUGCGCAGGGCCAGGUCAGGAUCUAUGCUAUAUCUGCUGUUUUUACAACUCCAUCCUGACUCCCAGGGAAGACCACACUAAGAGUCAGUCUUGGUUGGGCGCAGUGGCUCAUGCCUGUAAUCCCAGCACUUUGGGAGGCCAAGGCAGGAAGAUCUCUUGAGGUCAGGAGUUUGAGAUCACCCUGGUCAACAUGGUGAAACCCCAUCUCUGCCAAAAAUACAAAAAUUAAUGGGGUUUAGUGGCGGGCACCUGUAAUCCUGGCUGCUUGGGAGUCUGACGGAGGAGAAUUACUUGAACCUGGGAGGCAGAGGUUGCAGUGAGCUGAGAUUUCACCACCGUCCUGCAGUUUGGGCAAGAGAGUGAGAUUCUAUCUCACACACACACACACACACACACACACACACACACACACACACACAUCAGUCUUAAUAGAGGAUCCUCCAAGAAUUCUCCAAGAGAAAGGACAGGAAAGCAAUGUGUUCACACUUGGCCUGUGGAGAAACCUCUCAUUCACACCAGGACCUAGCUAGCUCAGUGAGUAUCUAGACACUUUCAAAGCUAGAAAUGUUGAAGCUUGCCAAAGUUCCUUUUCGAUAUAAGAUUUUGUUUUGCUUUUUUCCUGGUUAGGUCAAGGUCAAGGUGAUUUACUGUUAGCAUCUGUGGUUUUCUGGAAUCCCAUCCUUCCCAAUUUUAAAGAAAUGGUUCCCGAAAGGUCUAAACCACAUUGUUAAUCCAAGUGAAAAACAAAGCCAUUCUAAGAAGAUUUAAAUUAAACCAGUAACCCGUCCUCUUCUUAUCUUUUUCUUGUAAAUAUUGCUUGAUUCUUCCUAAAUUCCCAAAGUGGAGUUUAUUACAAAGAGCAUUCAUUUAGACUAGAACUACUUGUAUACAAUUUUGUAUGGUUUCCGUGGAAAAAGUGAAUAGAACUGUGUUGCAGUGUUGUGGUUUUACAACUAAAUUGAUGACAGUCUUUGUGAAUCUGCAUGGAAAAUGUAUGCCUGCCUGACAUCUUCUCUAUUAAAUAAAGCUUUUGUUUUCCACGCUUAGUACUGAACCUGGAAAGCUAAUAUCCACGUGGAUGAUCCCAAAGGUGCUGGUGUAUUUAAUUUAACUGUAUUGAUUUUUGUAUGGUCAGGAGUGAAUAAAAAUAAAGCAUGUCAGA
Callithrix jacchus (white-tufted-ear marmoset) is the source of this 3198-nucleotide non-coding RNA. Lineage: Eukaryota; Metazoa; Chordata; Mammalia; Primates; Cebidae. The record is from RefSeq and is a predicted model, not a curated record.